Varanus komodoensis (Komodo dragon) is the source of this 2293-nucleotide long non-coding RNA. RefSeq lists it as uncharacterized. The transcript has 2 exons. The record is from RefSeq and is a predicted model, not a curated record. NCBI's taxonomy places the organism in Eukaryota, Metazoa, Chordata, Lepidosauria, Squamata, Varanidae.
CAGUGUUUACUCUAUUAUGAGGAAGCCGCCAGCCUGGCCCUGGCCGCAACAAAAGCAGGAAGCGGGGAGAAAGCAUGAGGGGAUUAACCCUGCCAUCCCUGUGAGAAGGCAGCGCGGCGGCUCUCGGGGUCUCGCCCGCAGGCCAAGGGAGCUGGCGGAGCGUGGCCAGCCCACCACCCAGGCAUCCGGCCUGCACUGCCCGCAACCCCUUUCUUAAUCCGCUCGGGGUCUUGCAGGGGCUUCUGGCUCCCGCAGCGAAACGGGUCCAGCCACACGCAGAGCCAACCCAAGCCAAGCGUUCGCUUUCCAGGGCAGGCGGACAGAUGCGGGCAUGAAAGCUCACGCAAAAAGAGGGUGGGAGGGAAGGAAGGGCACCGCACUGCAGCUACUCGGCUCGUACAGGCAAUCCCAGAGAGGCCCGGACAUAACAGCUUAGAGAUUCUGUCAUACAGAGUGGGAAGCAUGUACAUUUUUGAAUAUUACUGGCAUUAAAAACACCACGAUAGUUUGAAGCCGGCGGCACUCUCGAGCAGUUAGACCACAACUCUCUGCUUCCUCCAGCCUUGCUGGAAGUCAUGGGUCAACGCCUCCAAGGGCACCAGUUUGAUCUGGAACAAUUGCAAGCAACCAGUUUGGCACUAACAGCACUGUGGGUCCAGGCCCCUGCUUCAUCCAAUACAAGUGCCCGGCCCUAUUUCUCAUCCUGAUUGCAAGUGGGCAAAUUGAAAGAUGUCUAUGCAGACUUAAGUCCUGAACAGCUUGCCCCUUUCCUUGGCUCCUGGAAAGACCAUCAUCCGAGAUCUGAAAUGUUCUCCUGUCCCUGAGGAAGGAAAAACGGAUCACGCUGCCUUCACAGAAUGGAGCAGAGAUAGAUCACUUUUGGCUACUGAUGCUCCCAGCGCACCACAGAGAAAGGAAGAGGCAGUGCUUUUAGAAGUCAUUAAUCUGCAGCCUCCUCUAGUGAUUCCACCGCAUCUCAACCCAAGAGCCUGCUUACUGCUGAAAGGGAACAGGAGGCAAGCCGACACCACCCCGCCACACACCACAAGCACACAAAGGGAUGCUCCUCCCAGAGAUACACGCACUGGCAUCCUCACCGCUGCCUGGAGCGAUCCUUCGCUGCAGUCGCCCUGCUAGGCCAAACCGGCCAGGAGCUACUCGCUGCCCCAGAGCCAAGAGGCUGCUGGUCAUCUGAGGUGACCUACAAGCUCCCAGGCCUCUCUGGGCACCACACACCAACAGUCAGCACAAGAGCUGGCCCUCUUCUCCAGAGCUGUGGCCAGCCUGUGGAGCUCCCCGGCCCAGGGGGUGUCUGCCAGCAGCACCCUCCCUGACAGGGCCCUCCUGUCCCGCCACCCUCGGCCCAGCCAAGACUGGCUCUUGCUUCGUUUUGCUUCAGAUCCCUUCCCAGCUUCCAAAAAGGCUGCGUUUGCUGUUAUGACCACUUUCCUCCUCAGCUGCGGCCAUGUCAUUCGAUUUGGUUCUUUAUUUCUUCCCUUUCGCGUAAUAAGGAGCCUGAUGCAGCUUCAAGCAAGACAGAACGGCAGGACACACCUCUUACAAUAAGGCGGGCAAACCCCACCCAACAAAGAUAACAACGCUUAUCGGUUUAAACCAGAAGCACAAAGCCUCUUUCUCCCCAAGAGCCCGAUUCCCUUUUGGAAAGGCUUUGGGGGGCACGUUUUGGCCCCGGGUUGGGCUGCAGGCAAAAGGGGCAAGCUCAAGGAAGCCAAUCUCCUUUUACUGGAAGCUCUGACUGGCAGGCACUGAGCCUCCAAGACACAACUCGGGCUGUUGGAAGGCUGGAAAAUCACACCAAGGCCAGAAAACUGCAACAUGCGUGGAGAGGAAGGCCCUUGCCGAGUCCUCCCCGUGACGCUCUGGCAGCUGCUAGUGGAGGGCCUGCGCAUUCCUUCCAAGCCACCACAGCCACAGCUGACCGAUCGGACAGGCAGAGGUCCCAGUCCCUGCCCCCUCUCUCCUAGGGGAAUUAGUGGCAGCUGCAGCUCUGGUCCCAACAGCUCCUGCGCUCGCCCAUUUGACCGAAUCAGAGUUGCGAAGCCCAGAAGCGGCUCCUUCCCCUGGAGCAGGGUGCCGACGCUGAGGCGGGGGUCACACCCUGCCGGCUUGGGUCCCUCUGGUGUCCUCUCCCCCUUCCUCUGGUUCCCCGCUCUUUCCUGGCACUGUGGAUUACUUGGUAGUCUGGCCACACGCAUUGCAAAAGGCCGACUGACUCCCCAAAGGCUUAACUCCUGGCAGUAAGAGCUUUAAAAGAACAUCUUUUCUUCAUUCA